This is a long non-coding RNA of Dermacentor albipictus, 1593 nucleotides long. RefSeq lists it as uncharacterized. The record is from RefSeq and is a predicted model, not a curated record. NCBI's taxonomy places the organism in Eukaryota, Metazoa, Arthropoda, Arachnida, Ixodida, Ixodidae.
CCCCCAUAAUCAUAUCGUGGUUUUGGCACGUAAAACCCUAGCAGUCAUUAGUUUUCUAUUGUAGGGUACCUGUCUCGCACUAAAAAUCUGAAGGCGACGUCAGCCUGCCCGGCUGUUUUGUCGCUGUGUACUGUUAAGGCGCUGAUAAAGAAAUAUAAAAAACCAGCCAGAGGGGCACCGCGCGAGCAUAAAGAUUUAUCUUGCACAGUUGAUGAGCUGAUGUUCAGCGGCCCGACUAGAAAUCGACUGUCACGCCAUUUCAUUACCUUUACCCGCUCGUCAUGUGUUCUGGCUCCUCAUUGGCCAGCAAUACUUUUUAAUGGUUUAGAAAUGCGGACAGCCGAACAAAGGUGCGGCGUCUGCUGAAAUGGCACCACGCGUCCCAGUUGAAGAACGAAAUCUCAUCGCCAGAUUUUUCGUUGAGCGUGCACCGCAGAGAGAGAUUUGCCGAAGAAAUUGCAGUUCGAAGACAUCGCUGAGCAGAAUUAUCCGUGCCUUUCGAGAUGAAGGAACACUUGCGGAUGUCAAGCGGUCCGGCCGGCCAAGACCCCGACGCAUGAGGACGACAUUGAUUGUGGCCGCAUCUGUCGUGGACCCUUUCCUGAGUGGUAAAGAAAUCCGCGACGAGGUGUCACUGGAUAUUUCUCCUUCGACAGUUCGCCGUCGUUUAAAAUCCGCUCGAAUUUUAAAUUGUGCUGCGGCGCAGAAGCCAUUCUUGAGUGAGCGACAACGCCAACAAGGCCUGGACUUCGCUCUGGACCACCAGCACUGGAGCGCAGAAGAGUGGCACAAUGUAGUUUUUUUCUGACGAGUCCACUUUCUGCACUCGUUGGGAUCAAAAAAGGGGGGUGUGGCGGCCCUUCAAUUCCAGAUUGCAGGUGUCACCCUGGCUAUACUCAGAGUGUUCUUUCAAGUGGCCGAUGUGCAGUCUCCGUGUGGGGUGCCAUGAGCAAAGAUGGCCUCUUGUCCGCAUUGAUGUUAAAUUCACGGCGUCAUGUUGCAGUUUUCUGCUGCAAGACACCAUGCUCCCAUAUGUGCUGGAUGGACCCUUCCCCGACGGCUGUUUCCUUUUCCAGCAGGGCAAAAGCCCCGUGCACAUGGCUCGUAAGGUGACCGACGUGCCAGAGAACCUUGGCGUGCGCACGUUGCUGGGGCCUCCGAAUGGCGCGGACGCAAACCCCAUCGAAACUGUCUGGGCGCGAAUGAAGUCGGCUCGGUCCAAACGCAACUUGUCCACGGCAGACGCACUCUGGGACGCCAUUCGUGAGGAGUGGGAUCUCCCUCGAUCUGAUAGCGAAUAUGUCGCCUCGCUUUACAGUUCGAUGCCAAGGCGGAUGUCGGAGAUCAUUUCCGCGGGCGGCCACUUCACCCACUACUAAAUUUGUGCAGCAAUACGUCCGGGGCGCAGAUUUGCCGAUGCUAUAUUAUGGGUGCCCUCAGGCUAAGUAGCUUUCAAUUUUUGUUCUUUCAUGGCAAACCUAUGACUGCGCCGAUAUCUGCUCGCGUCAUUUUUUACUCGUGUACUUGCCUAUUUCUUUUGGACCUGCCUAUCUCGUUUCAUUUGAUUCAAAUAAACUGAUUUCUUCGGCUGAA